UACGUAGGGGCCUAGCGUUGUCCGGAUUUAUUGGGCGUAAAGAGCUCGUAGGCGGCUUGGUAAGUCAGGUGUGAAAUCUCCACGCUCAACGUGGAGGGGCCACCCGAAACUGCCAUGGCUUGAGUCCGGUAGGGGAGUGUGGAAUUCCCGGUGUAGCGGUGAAAUGCGCAGAUAUCGGGAGGAACACCUAUUGCGAAGGCAGCUCGCUGGGACGUUACUGACGCUGAGACGCGAAAGCGUGGGGAGCAAACAGG
RNAcentral lists this ribosomal RNA (254 nucleotides) under uncultured bacterium. RNAcentral's name for it is "partial 16S ribosomal RNA". It matches the Rfam family "Bacterial small subunit ribosomal RNA", at positions 524 to 776 of the family's 1533-position model. The record is from RNAcentral.